Molecule: long non-coding RNA, 306 nt
Filed under: Brassica napus (rape)
Lineage: Eukaryota; Viridiplantae; Streptophyta; Magnoliopsida; Brassicales; Brassicaceae
Description: long non-coding RNA (BNAP_LNC021405)
Source: RNAcentral
UCGAGAUGUCGUCUAGCUUCUCCAACUUCGUGCGAGCGGGUACAACAUCCCUCGUGACUCCAUCGACGGCUUCUCUUCGACAACGCGGGUAAGGGAACCCGCGUGCUCCAACCCGCGUCAAGACGUCGAGCAGCUCCAUUCUCGUGCGCGCGGGUACGGCUUCCGCGUGAUUCAAGCCGCGUUGGACCUCUCUGUUGCUUCAUGUCGACACGGGUUGGUGAACCCGCGUGGUACAACCCGCGUUGCAAUCACCCAUACUUGACCAAACUUCAUUCUUCAUCUCUUUUCGAACCACAAUGCUUCUAA